GCGCCCUUAGCUCAGUUGGUAGAGCAAAUGUCUUAUACACAUUAGGUCCCUGGUUCGAGCCCAGGAGGGCGCA
Molecule: transfer RNA, 73 nt
Filed under: bacterium
Lineage: Bacteria
Description: tRNA-Ile
Rfam family: tRNA
About the family: Transfer RNA (tRNA) molecules are approximately 80 nucleotides in length. Their secondary structure includes four short double-helical elements and three loops (D, anti-codon, and T loops). Further hydrogen bonds mediate the characteristic L-shaped molecular structure. tRNAs have two regions of fundamental functional importance: the anti-codon, which is responsible for specific mRNA codon recognition, and the 3' end, to which the tRNAs corresponding amino acid is attached (by aminoacyl-tRNA synthetases). tRNAs cope with the degeneracy of the genetic code in two manners: having more than one tRNA (with a specific anti-codon) for a particular amino acid; and 'wobble' base-pairing, i.e. permitting non-standard base-pairing at the 3rd anti-codon position.
Source: RNAcentral